GGCCCACCACUUUCAUCGAGUGAGCAUUCGUCUUCUGGUUACGGGGCCAUAGCUCAGCUGGGAGAGCGCGUGCUUUGCAAGCAUGAGGUCGUCGGUUCGAUCCCGUCUGGCUCCACCAGAUGGUUUGAUCGCCGAGAUCUUGCACCGUCGUCCGCGAAACAUCGCUUCGCAUCCUGCUAGUCUGGAUAGACAGCAAGAUGCGUGUUUUCUGACAUCGUAAAGAGGAGAUCGAUCCGAGUUGGGUCGUGCAGCAGAUUGUUGCGCGAAUCCUUCAUUAUCUCCGGAUCAUUUUCGGCGCUCGCUUUCAGCCGUGAGGUUGAAUGCGAGUUGUAAAAUGAUCCUUUUAGCGAAGCUUGACCGCCUCGCUAUCGGAACGAUCUUACGAAGCAAGCUGGUCUUUCUAGUCAAUGUCCGGCUGCAGAUAGCGUUCGUCGAGGGCGCGUGCCGCAAGGCAAUUCUGCAGACAACAUUCUGCCGAGUGUGUGGACAUUGAUAAUGAGAGCAAUCAAGUGCCUUAAGGGUGUUCGGUGGAUGCCUUGGCGCUGAGAGGCGAUGAAGGACGUGCUACGCUGCGAUAAGCCGUGGGGAGCUGCGAAGAAGCUUUGAUCCGCGGAUUUCCGAAUGG
RNAcentral lists this unclassified non-coding RNA (625 nucleotides) under uncultured Bradyrhizobium sp. Its description in RNAcentral is "partial 16S-23S ribosomal RNA intergenic spacer". The stretch from base 504 to 625 matches the Rfam family "Bacterial large subunit ribosomal RNA", at positions 1 to 121 of the family's 2925-position model. Lineage: Bacteria; Pseudomonadati; Pseudomonadota; Alphaproteobacteria; Hyphomicrobiales; Nitrobacteraceae. The record is from RNAcentral.